This is a long non-coding RNA of Lactuca sativa (garden lettuce), 743 nucleotides long. RefSeq lists it as uncharacterized. The record is from RefSeq and is a predicted model, not a curated record. NCBI's taxonomy places the organism in Eukaryota, Viridiplantae, Streptophyta, Magnoliopsida, Asterales, Asteraceae.
CAAUUUUUUAUAUCACACAAGAAGCAAAGAUAAAUAUAGAACAUUAGCCUAAAUCGAUUUCACCGCUUCACACCACCCCUGUAGAUCGAUUUCACCAUUUCUCUCUGUAUUCUCUAUUUGUUCCAUAUUUAAGGCCUAAUUCGAUUUACGAAACGAAUGAUAUGUGUAUGGCUGUUACAAUUGUAGAAAGAAAAGAGAGAAAAGGAAUGCAGAGAUUGAAUAUGGAACAAAUAGACUAACUGUUCAAUUUUAUUUAUCGACCCUUUUCAUCUGUCAUCAUCAUCAUCAUCCUGUGUUGCCGCUUCUCCUUUUCCUUCUCCAUCGUCGAGAAAUCAGUUUUAAAACCCUAUCAGUAAGACCAACCCCUUCACCAGUUUGUCAUCGUCAAUCAAGGAACCCCUACCCCUUUUAAUGUUUGUUGCUUUGAAUUUGAAAGACACCUGCAUUUGUGUUUGAUAGCCGCAAGAAAAAAAUCAACAACCUUUUCCAAUUAUUCGAACCAAUUACCAGGAAUUGGUGGCUUAUUCAGGUGCAAGACAAUUGAGGAGUACAAUAUUGCUGCUUCUGAAUGGUUGGAAUAACGAGUUGAAGACAUGAUAGGAAUAACUGGAAGAAUGAAUAAAAGAUUGAUCACACUCACAAUUUAAGAAUGUUGUUAUUUUUUAAAGAAUUUUAUUCAUUUUUGUUGAUAUUUUUUUAGAAUAUGUAUAAUUAUAUUAAAAUGUAUAAGACUAUUAGUCUGU